CCACCGGGAGCCCUCGGAUGAAGAGCUGGUCGAGGCGGUAGUUGACUUGGAGAAGUAGGAGGAGAGGAAACGACAGCCUCAGACGUACAGGCCCCUCUCUCGCUCCUGCCGCAUCCACCUCCUCCCCCCUCAUCAGCGGCACAGAAGGG
This is a long non-coding RNA of Etheostoma spectabile (orangethroat darter), 149 nucleotides long. RefSeq lists it as uncharacterized. Lineage: Eukaryota; Metazoa; Chordata; Actinopteri; Perciformes; Percidae. The transcript has 3 exons. The record is from RefSeq and is a predicted model, not a curated record.